RNAcentral lists this ribosomal RNA (465 nucleotides) under uncultured bacterium. RNAcentral describes it as "partial 16S ribosomal RNA". It matches the Rfam family "Bacterial small subunit ribosomal RNA", at positions 28 to 507 of the family's 1533-position model. The record is from RNAcentral.
GACGAACGCUGGCGGCGUGCUUAACACAUGCAAGUCGUACGGUAAGGCCCUUUCGGGGGUACACGAGUGGCGAACGGGUGCGUAACACGUGAGUAACCUGCCCACAACUUUGGGAUAACGCUAGGAAACUGGUGCUAAUACUGGAUAUGUGCUCCUGCUGCAUGGUGGGGGUUGGAAAGCUCCGGCGGUUGUGGAUGGACUCGCGGCCUAUCAGCUUGUUGGUGGGGUAGUGGCCUACCAAGGCGGCGACGGGUAGCCGGCCUGAGAGGGUGACCGGCCACAUUGGGACUGAGAUAAGGCCCAGACUCCUACGGGAGGCAGCAGGGGGGAAUAUUGCACAAUGGGCGCAAGCCUGAUGCAGCAACGCCGCGGGCGGGAUGACGGCCUUCGGGUUGUAAACCGCUUUCAGCAGGGACGAAGCUUUUUGUGACGGUACCUGCAGAAGAAGCACCGGCUAACUACGUG